UGGGGAAUAUUGCACAAUGGGCGGAAGCCUGAUGCAGCGACGCCGCGUGGGGGAUGACGGCCUUCGGGUUGUAAACCUCUUUCAGCUCCGACGAAGCGGGAGUGACGGUAGGAGCAGAAGAAGCGCCGGCCAACUACGUGCCAGCAGCCGCGGUAAGACGUAGGGCGCGAGCGUUGUCCGGAUUUAUUGGGCGUAAAGAGCUCGUAGGCGGCUUGUCGCGUCGUCCGUGAAAACCCGUGGCUCAACUGCGGGCUUGCGGUCGAUACGGGCAGGCUGGAGUUCGGUAGGGGAGACUGGAAUUCCUGGUGUAGCGGUGAAAUGCGCAGAUAUCAGGAGGAACACCGGUGGCGAAGGCGGGUCUCUGGGCCGAUACUGACGCUGAGGAGCGAAAGCGUGGGGAGCGAAC
RNAcentral lists this ribosomal RNA (406 nucleotides) under uncultured bacterium. RNAcentral's name for it is "bacterial SSU rRNA". It matches the Rfam family "Bacterial small subunit ribosomal RNA", at positions 355 to 773 of the family's 1533-position model. The record is from RNAcentral.